RNAcentral lists this ribosomal RNA (115 nucleotides) under Diaphorina citri (Asian citrus psyllid). The record is from RNAcentral. Lineage: Eukaryota; Metazoa; Arthropoda; Insecta; Hemiptera; Psyllidae.
GCCAGCGGCGAUAGCAAGUUAAAUGCGCCAGUUCCUUGCGGAUCACUGAAGCUAAGCAAUGUUGCGCGUGGCUAGUACCUGGAUGGUGACCAUCUGGGAAAUUGCGUGCUGGGUU